This 856-nucleotide ribosomal RNA is filed under the name Bacillus safensis. Its description in RNAcentral is "bacterial SSU rRNA". It matches the Rfam family "Bacterial small subunit ribosomal RNA", at positions 69 to 907 of the family's 1533-position model. The record is from RNAcentral. Lineage: Bacteria; Bacillati; Bacillota; Bacilli; Caryophanales; Bacillaceae.
ACGACAUAGGAUGCCCGCGGUAGGUGUUUGGCGGACGGGUCGAGUAACACGUGGGUAACCUGCCUGUAAGACUGGGAUAACUCCGGGAAACCGGAGCUAAUACCGGAUAGUUCCUUGAACCGCAUGGUUCAAGGAUGAAAGACGGUUUCGGCUGUCACUUACAGAUGGACCCGCGGCGCAUUAGCUAGUUGGUGGGGUAAUGGCUCACCAAGGCGACGAUGCGUAGCCGACCUGAGAGGGUGAUCGGCCACACUGGGACUGAGACACGGCCCAGACUCCUACGGGAGGCAGCAGUAGGGAAUCUUCCGCAAUGGACGAAAGUCUGACGGAGCAACGCCGCGUGAGUGAUGAAGGUUUUCGGAUCGUAAAGCUCUGUUGUUAGGGAAGAACAAGUGCGAGAGUAACUGCUCGCACCUUGACGGUACCUAACCAGAAAGCCACGGCUAACUACGUGCCAGCAGCCGCGGUAAUACGUAGGUGGCAAGCGUUGUCCGGAAUUAUUGGGCGUAAAGGGCUCGCAGGCGGUUUCUUAAGUCUGAUGUGAAAGCCCCCGGCUCAACCGGGGAGGGUCAUUGGAAACUGGGAAACUUGAGUGCAGAAGAGGAGAGUGGAAUUCCACGUGUAGCGGUGAAAUGCGUAGAGAUGUGGAGGAACACCAGUGGCGAAGGCGACUCUCUGGUCUGUAACUGACGCUGAGGAGCGAAAGCGUGGGGAGCGAACAGGAUUAGAUACCCUGGUAGUCCACGCCGUAAACGAUGAGUGCUAAGUGUUAGGGGGGUUUCCGCCCCUUAGUGCUGCAGCUAACGCAUUAAGCACUCCGCCUGGGGAGUACGGUCGCAAGACUGAAACUCAAAGG